AUGGAGCGACAUUGUCCCGCGAGGGGUCGCGGUCAAGGGUCAGUAGAUGGGUGGAAGGCGGCCUGGGGGGCCUCCUUCACCCCUAUAUCUUUGUUUUCUGAAGUAGUCGCCCUCUUGCAUCCCCAAAGAAAAAGAGAAAGAGGCCGACCCCUCCCUCGCCCCCCAGGAGUGGCCGCGGAGGGCCCCCAGCGCCGCUCCUCCCGUCUCCCGUGGCAACCAGAGGCUUCCAGCCCCUAUCAACCGGCAGCCUGUCGUCUCCUCCCGGGCUGGUCCAGAGUUCGGAGGGUUCCAGCUCUCAGCCCGCGUCCCCUUCCGGGAAAGAGAUCGCCAGCCCCCUCUCCACGCCCGCUCCCAUCUCCACCCCGGGACUCUGGCUGGGGAAGGGGGAACCCGGCGAGGCAGGUGCCAGCAGCCCACACCCUCCCGGGGUCGCCCCGCCGAACCACGGGACCGGGAGGCGAGGCUGCCCGGCCAAAACACCCCGCGCUGGGGACCGCGCCCGGCGCCCGCCGCAGCCCCUACCUGCUGGACAAGGGUGCCCCGCAGCCGGGACCCCGGGAGUCGACUCCGAGUGCGCCCCGCGAGGGUGCGCGGCGCGCUGCUGCCCUGCGCUUCCCCGGGGCCGUGGCGCGCUCGGGGCGGGCGCGCCGGGCGCACCCGGGGCCGGUGAGCGCCGUUCUCGUCCCGGCCGGCGGUGCGGGCUGGGCGGCCGGGGUCCGGGUUCCGCGGCCGCGCUCGGGCUCCCGGGCGCCGCUCCGGCCGCCGGGGCUCCGCGGGGCCCGCCUCCGUCCGGGCCGGCCGCCGCCUCCUUCCCACGCGCUCGCGCGCCGGGACCGCGCCUCUCUGCUCUCGCUGCGCCUCCGGUCCCCCCUCCGGCUUCUCCCGCCUCCCGCCUCGCAGGCCAAUCUAAGAACGGGGCUCACUCUUCAAACUUCUGCGUCCGGGCUCGGCCAGAAGCGGGGCAGCGAGACCGGAACGCGGGGGAGGCGGCCCGGGCGCGGGGCCCCUGCGCGGUGGCCCGGGGCUGCGACCUGGAGCGGGCAUCCCCCGUGA
This is a long non-coding RNA of Bos indicus x Bos taurus (hybrid cattle), 1053 nucleotides long. The record is from Ensembl. NCBI's taxonomy places the organism in Eukaryota, Metazoa, Chordata, Mammalia, Artiodactyla, Bovidae.